Long non-coding RNA from Physella acuta, 1395 nucleotides. RefSeq lists it as uncharacterized. NCBI's taxonomy places the organism in Eukaryota, Metazoa, Mollusca, Gastropoda, Physidae. The record is from RefSeq and is a predicted model, not a curated record.
AUCGUAUUUUUUUUCUUUCUACUGGUGAUUUCUUCCCCCUUGUCUUUUGGAGCUGAGGUUUUCUUAUGGCGCCCAAGAGGAAGGUUGCGAUUAGCGUAAGUUAACUUCAACUCACAUCUGCUUUGGAUUAAAUAGUGUGAGCUAUUUAUACCCUAACAAGGGUGAUAUUGACCUCUACACGGAAUCAACGCUGGAAUUCUUUAUCCAGCUACCCGAAGAUUCAGCGUCGGAAUCUCAACAUCUAUACUGUUCUUAUUUCAAUGGAUAUUUUUUUCUUUUCUUCCUUUUGAAGUUGUUUUGCUAUAGUGUAGUUGAGGUUGAAGGUUGUGGAUUCACUGUGGAUAACUAGUUUAAUGAAGUUCAGGUUUGUGGAUUCGUUAUGGAUAACUAGUGUAUAUCCAGUUCAGUGAUUGGAUAUAACUAGCUGGAUACUGUGGGUGUGGAUUGAUGGAUAUAUUUGACUUACGUUACUGAGUGCUUUGUGUUGUGCUCGAGGAAAGGUGGAGCUAGCUAUAGACUAGGAGCCGGUCGACGAUGGAUAUUUUGUGGAUACUUUAAAUCCACAAGGAUAAGCUAAGCGAAAGUUCCACCGCGACCCCCACGUAGCAGACAUUAAAGAUGGAGCACGAGGAAACAAACGGCACCCUGGACCUGAGCCUGAUCAACCCACCCCCUCCCCAGCCCAUCGGUGUGUACGGCUGGAGGAAGCGGUGCCUGUACGCCUUCGUGCUGGCACUGAUGGUCAUCGUCAUCAUGAACCUGGCACUGACCGUCUGGAUCCUCCGGGUGCUGGACUUUUCUUUUGACGGUAUGGGACAUCUCAGGAUCGUGCCCAAAGGAUUUCAGCUGAUAGGUGAAGCAGAGUUUCUCAACCUGUUUACGUCGACAAUUAAAGUCGAAUCAGGGGAAGAAACUGUUUAUUGAGUCAAGCAAAGCGAUCGAGUUGCUUACGUUAGAUAAGAAUCAAGAAUUUGGAAGUAGACUUGUUGUAGACGAGGACAACAUCACGAUGACCUGUGACACCCUGCACGUUGUAGACUCAAAGGGAAACACUAAUCUUUUGCUGUCAAAGGACAAGGUCGUUUUAGGAUCAGGGGACGUAAUGUUUCCAGGUGAAAUCCGGUUACAAGGAUCAUUGUUGACACCAACAGUAUUGAGUCCAUCAGAUUCAUUGCUACAGAUUUCAUCCGAGUCGAUGGUCAAUGUGUUUGGACAGGAAGGGAUAACCUGACCUCAGGUCAGGGUAACCUCACAGUGGAUGCCAGUGACAUUUAUUUAUCAUCCGGCAACGGAUCUAUUCACCUUAAUGGCCAGAAUAUAUUCUCAACAAUAUCCCGACAGUGAACAUAACAAACAGAGCCGACAAAAAAACCAAGUGCUAGUACGCCAGCCGUG